CCUGGGCAUGCGGCGGUGGCGGUGAUGGGCUGCUCUCGUCAGGUGGCACAGAAGCAGCAUUCCUCUGCAUAGAGGAGCGGCUGGACGACGAGAAUCUGAAGCCGGGUAGCUUCCUCUGCACAUCUUCCAUCAUUUCACGGCACUGAAUGUUUCGGGUCAUUAUGAAGUCGCUGCACUGCUGUUUUAUUUUGCCAAUUGCUUCCUGUGCAGAGGGAGGGGGGGUCAUCCCAAUAUCAGUAGCCCAUUCGAGACGAGACAUCUGCAUUCCUAUGUUCGACGCAAAUAUUUAAAAAAAAAUUGAAAAUGCAAUCGCACCUGUAAAGUCACA
This 328-nucleotide long non-coding RNA is filed under the name Zea mays. RNAcentral describes it as "long non-coding RNA (ZMAY_LNC002960)". The record is from RNAcentral. Lineage: Eukaryota; Viridiplantae; Streptophyta; Magnoliopsida; Poales; Poaceae.